This 316-nucleotide ribosomal RNA is filed under the name Stenopus pyrsonotus. RNAcentral describes it as "partial 12S ribosomal RNA". The record is from RNAcentral. Lineage: Eukaryota; Metazoa; Arthropoda; Malacostraca; Decapoda; Stenopodidae.
ACCUAAGAGAUUUGGCGGUACUCGUUACUUAUUAGAGAAAUUUGCUAUAAGAGAUCGAUAAUCCCCGAAAAAUCUUACUUUUAUAAGUAUCUCAGUUUGUAUACCGUCAUAGAUGUGAUUUCUAAAGAGUAUUAAUUAUUUAUUAGACUUAGUUGAGUGAGACAUUAGAUCAAGGUGCAGCUAAUAUAAAAGGUUAAAGUGAAUUACAUUACAAUCUUGUCAAAUUAUGGAAGAAGAACUGAAAUAUAUUUCUGAAAGUGGAUUUAAUGGUAAUAAUAUUUUAAUAAGUUAUUUUGAUUUUAGUUCUGGAGUAUGU